Molecule: long non-coding RNA, 224 nt
Organism: Cryptotermes secundus
Lineage: Eukaryota; Metazoa; Arthropoda; Insecta; Blattodea; Kalotermitidae
Exons: 4
Source: RefSeq, a predicted model, not a curated record
GUUUUUUCUCGCAGGCUUCAGCUCUUUGGUGAGGGUUACCUUAUGGGUGGCUGUGUUAAAGCAAGCACUUCUUUUCUUCAGGGAGGGUGUAAGAGGAACCUUUUGGCGAGUUAUUGUUUUUGCAGUACUGACCAGCCUAUCGUGCUACCUAGAGAAUAACAUUGAAAACGAGUUUUUUCUCGCAUUUUUCAACGCGGUGGUGAGGGUUUUCCUAUGGGUGGCUG